UUGGCAAUAGGAAAGUCCGGGCUCCAUAGGGCAGGGUGCCGGAUAACGUCCGGCGGAGGCGACUCCAGGGCAAGUGCAGCAGAAAAUUACCGCCUGCUCCGGCAGGUAAGGGUGAAAAGGCAGCUUAAGAGACUACCGCUCUCAUAGUAAUAUGGGAGGCGAAUGUAAACCCCACUCGGAGAAAGAUCAAGCAGAGAAUCAGUCGGCGGCCCGUCGCAUGUGUUCUCAGGUGGAUCGAUAGAGGCCUGUGGCAACGCAGGCAGUAGAUAGAUGGUCAUCAGAUACAGAACCCGGCUUAUAGUGACU
This 306-nucleotide RNase P RNA is filed under the name uncultured Catonella sp. RNAcentral describes it as "Bacterial RNase P class A". It matches the Rfam family "Bacterial RNase P class A", at positions 36 to 354 of the family's 367-position model. From Rfam's summary of the family: Ribonuclease P (RNase P) is a ubiquitous endoribonuclease, found in archaea, bacteria and eukarya as well as chloroplasts and mitochondria. Its best characterised activity is the generation of mature 5'-ends of tRNAs by cleaving the 5'-leader elements of precursor-tRNAs. Lineage: Bacteria; Bacillati; Bacillota; Clostridia; Lachnospirales; Lachnospiraceae. The record is from RNAcentral.